RNAcentral lists this ribosomal RNA (200 nucleotides) under uncultured bacterium. Its description in RNAcentral is "partial 16S ribosomal RNA". It matches the Rfam family "Bacterial small subunit ribosomal RNA", at positions 8 to 205 of the family's 1533-position model. The record is from RNAcentral.
AGAGUUUGAUCCUGGCUCAGGACGAACGCUGGCGGCGUGCGUAACACAUGCAAGUCGGACGGGUUUCUUGGCUUCGGCCAGGGGAUCAGUGGCGGACGGGUGCGUAACACGUGCAUAACCUGCCCGGGUGUGGGGGAUACCCGCCAGAAAUGGCGGCUAAGACCGCAUAGGGUCGCCUUGGGGAGCUUGAGGCGAAGAAA